GAUGAACGCUGGCGGCGUGCCUAAUACAUGCAAGUCGAGCGAACAGACGAGGAGCUUGCUCCUCUGACGUUAGCGGCGGACGGGUGAGUAACACGUGGAUAACCUACCUAUAAGACUGGGAUAACUUCGGGAAACCGGAGCUAAUACCGGAUAAUAUAUUGAACCGCAUGGUUCAAUAGUGAAAGACGGUUUUGCUGUCACUUAUAGAUGGAUCCGCGCCGCAUUAGCUAAUUGGUAAGGUAACGGCUUACCAAGGCAACGAUGCGUAGCCGACCUGAGAGAGUGAUCGGCCACACUGGAACUGAGACACGGUCCAGACUCCUACGGGAGGCAGCAGAAGGGAAUCUUCCGCAAUGGGCGAAAGCCUGACGGAGCAACGCCGCGUGAGUGAUGAAGGUCUUCGGAUCGUAAAACUCUGUUAUUAGGGAAGAACAAAUGUGUAAGUAACUAUGCACGUCUUGACGGUACCUAAUCAGAAAGCCACGGCUAACUACGUG
This 497-nucleotide ribosomal RNA is filed under the name uncultured bacterium. Its description in RNAcentral is "partial 16S ribosomal RNA". It matches the Rfam family "Bacterial small subunit ribosomal RNA", at positions 28 to 507 of the family's 1533-position model. The record is from RNAcentral.